This 237-nucleotide long non-coding RNA is filed under the name Phoenix dactylifera (date palm). Its description in RNAcentral is "long non-coding RNA (PDAC_LNC008757)". Lineage: Eukaryota; Viridiplantae; Streptophyta; Magnoliopsida; Arecales; Arecaceae. The record is from RNAcentral.
CCAGUCAAAGAAUGAGGCAGACUUCUCCUCCUCUCCUAGAUCUAAUCCUGCGAUCUCCGCCUGGGCGAUAGUAGACAAUUAAAUGCACACGGUCUUCACGGACCUCCAGCUUACUCAAAAUCUCCGGUCAUCCAUGGCAGCCAGUUGACUCACUCCCCUUCAUCUAGUCACCCACGGUAACUCAUUAAUUCACACGAUCACGCCCAAUCAUGACUGUAGCUCAUUAAUUCGCCCAGU